UACGUAGGGUGCGAGCGUUAAUCGGAAUUACUGGGCGUAAAGCGUGCGCAGGCGGUUUUGUAAGCCAGAUGUGAAAUCCCCGGGCUUAACCUGGGAAUGGCAUUUGGGACUGCAAGGCUGGAGUGUGGCAGAGGAGACUGGAAUUCCUGGUGUAGCGGUGAAAUGCGUAGAUAUCAGGAGGAAUACCGAUGGCGAAGGCAGGUCUCUGGGCUGACACUGACGCUCAUGCACGAAAGCGUGGGGAGCAAACAGG
This 253-nucleotide ribosomal RNA is filed under the name uncultured bacterium. RNAcentral's name for it is "partial 16S ribosomal RNA". It matches the Rfam family "Bacterial small subunit ribosomal RNA", at positions 524 to 776 of the family's 1533-position model. The record is from RNAcentral.